Long non-coding RNA from Phyllopteryx taeniolatus (common seadragon), 596 nucleotides. RefSeq lists it as uncharacterized. NCBI's taxonomy places the organism in Eukaryota, Metazoa, Chordata, Actinopteri, Syngnathiformes, Syngnathidae. The record is from RefSeq and is a predicted model, not a curated record. The transcript has 5 exons.
GACGAACGCGGAAAGUUAGCACCCUUCCCUUGCUAACGGCUAACGCUACCUCCCGUCGGUGGUUUAGCCAGUUAACGUCUCUGGAAGCAUUUCAAAGCUCAUAUUAGCGCCGAUCAGACGAGCUUCUUGGCGAUAAAGAAAUCCUUGAGCCGCUUCAUCUGCCAGAAACCCACCGAGAGCAGCAGGAAGGUCUGCACCACAGCCCACCACAGCACGACGCUCUCCAGCAAAGACGGAGAAUCUGGUGGAGUUGGUUUGGAAGCAGAGGAAGUGCUGACCGGACGCAUGCGCUGUGAAGGUGAAUUUAGCGAAGAUGCCAUAGCGUUUGCUCAUCAAAACCUAGUGUGACGCCGAGUUGAGGCGAGCGGGUGGACGACUUCAAGUCCCACGGCUGCAACAGGAAAUAUCCUGAGGGGGAAAGAGAUACGCUCAGCUGAGCCGCCUGCCGACUCACCCGUCACCAGCAUGUCCUCGGGAAUCUCCUGAAUGACGCAUCGUUCCUCCUGCUCGCCCAGAUCGAAAUACAUGGCGGCCGCCAGCGUCAGGUAAGCCUGCAGGAAGAAGCCAGCCCGUCGUAGCCUCAUGGUCACUCCGCU